This 498-nucleotide ribosomal RNA is filed under the name uncultured Lachnospiraceae bacterium. RNAcentral's name for it is "bacterial SSU rRNA". It matches the Rfam family "Bacterial small subunit ribosomal RNA", at positions 8 to 507 of the family's 1533-position model. Lineage: Bacteria; Bacillati; Bacillota; Clostridia; Lachnospirales; Lachnospiraceae. The record is from RNAcentral.
AGAGUUUGAUCCUGGCUCAGGAUGAACGCUGGCGGCGUGCCUAACACAUGCAAGUCGAACGGGUGUACGGGAAGGAAGGCUUCGGCCGGAAAACCUGUGCAUGAGUGGCGGACGGGUGAGUAACGCGUGGGCAACCUGGCCUGUACAGGGGGAUAACACUUAGAAAUAGGUGCUAAUACCGCAUAACGGGGGAAGCCGCAUGGCUUUUCCCUGAAAACUCCGGUGGUACAGGAUGGGCCCGCGUCUGAUUAGCCAGUUGGGCAGGGUAACGGCCUACCAAAGCGACGAUCAGUAGCCGGCCUGAGAGGGCGGACGGCCACACUGGGACUGAGACACGGCCCCGACUCCUACGGGAGGCAGCAGUGGGGGAUAUUGCACAAUGGGGGGAGCCCUGAUGCAGCGACGCCGCGUGGGUGAAGAAGCGCCUCGGCGCGUAAAGCCCUGUCAGCAGGGAAGAAAAUGACGGUACCUGAAGAAGAAGCCCCGGCUAACUACGUG